GGAAUCUUCCACAAUGGACGAAAGUCUGAUGGAGCAACGCCGCGUGAGUGAUGAAGGUUUUCGGAUCGUAAAACUCUGUUGUAAGGGAAGAACAAGUACGAGAGGGAAUGCUCGUACCUUGACGGUACCUUGCGAGAAAGCCACGGCUAACUACGUGCCAGCAGCCGCGGUAAUACGUAGGUGGCAAGCGUUGUCCGGAAUUAUUGGGCGUAAAGCGCGCGCAGGCGGCCUUUUAAGUCUGAUGUGAAAGCCCCCGGCUCAACCGGGGAGGGUCAUUGGAAACUGGAAGGCUUGAGUACAGAAGAGAAGAGUGGAAUUCCAUGUGUAGCGGUGAAAUGCGUAGAGAUGUGGAGGAACACCAGUGGCGAAGGCGACUCUUUGGUCUGUAACUGACGCUGAGGCGCGAAAGCGUGGGGAGCAAACAGGAUUAGAUACCCUGG
RNAcentral lists this ribosomal RNA (440 nucleotides) under uncultured Exiguobacterium sp. Its description in RNAcentral is "bacterial SSU rRNA". It matches the Rfam family "Bacterial small subunit ribosomal RNA", at positions 358 to 790 of the family's 1533-position model. The record is from RNAcentral. Lineage: Bacteria; Bacillati; Bacillota; Bacilli; Caryophanales.